RNAcentral lists this ribosomal RNA (446 nucleotides) under uncultured bacterium. RNAcentral describes it as "partial 16S ribosomal RNA". It matches the Rfam family "Bacterial small subunit ribosomal RNA", at positions 338 to 795 of the family's 1533-position model. The record is from RNAcentral.
CCUACGGGUGGCAGCAGUCGAGAAUCAUUCACAAUGGGGGAAACCCUGAUGGUGCGACGCCGCGUGGGGGAAUGAAGGUCUUCGGAUUGUAAACCCCUGUCAUGUGGGAGCAAAUUAAAAAGAUAGUACCACAAGAGGAAGAGACGGCUAACUCUGUGCCAGCAGCCGCGGUAAUACAGAGGUCUCAAGCGUUGUUCGGAAUCACUGGGCGUAAGGCGUGCGUAGGCGGUUUCGUAAGUCGGGUGUGAAAGGCGCGGGCUCAACCCGCGGACGGCACAUGAUACUGCGAGACUAGAGUAAUGGAGGGGGAACCGGAAUUCUCGGUGUAGCAGUGAAAUGCGUAGAUAUCGAGAGGAACACUCGUGGCGAAGGCGGGUUCCUGGACAUUAACUGACGCUGAGGCACGAAGGCCAGGGGAGCGAAAGGGAUUAGAUACCCUAGUAGUC